Molecule: ribosomal RNA, 799 nt
Filed under: uncultured bacterium
Lineage: Bacteria
Description: bacterial SSU rRNA
Rfam family: Bacterial small subunit ribosomal RNA
Source: RNAcentral
GACCGGCGCACGGGUGCGUAACGCGUAUGCAAUCUACCUUUUACAGAGGGAUAGCCCAGAGAAAUUUGGAUUAAUACCUCAUAGUAUUAUUGAAUGGCAUCAUUUAAUAAUUAAAGUCACAACGGUAAAAGAUGAGCAUGCGUCCCAUUAGCUAGUUGGUAAGGUAAUGGCUUACCAAGGCAACGAUGGGUAGGGGUCCUGAGAGGGAGAUCCCCCACACUGGUACUGAGACACGGACCAGACUCCUACGGGAGGCAGCAGUGAGGAAUAUUGGUCAAUGGGUGCAAGCCUGAACCAGCCAUGCCGCGUGCAGGAUGACGGUCCUAUGGAUUGUAAACUGCUUUUGUACAGGAAGAAACAGUUCUACGUGUAGAACCUUGACGGUACUGUAAGAAUAAGGAUCGGCUAACUCCGUGCCAGCAGCCGCGGUAAUACGGAGGAUCCAAGCGUUAUCCGGAAUCAUUGGGUUUAAAGGGUCCGUAGGCGGUUUUGUAAGUCAGUGGUGAAAGCCCAUCGCUCAACGGUGGAACGGCCAUUGAUACUGCAAGACUUGAAUUAUUGGGAAGUAACUAGAAUAUGUAGUGUAGCGGUGAAAUGCUUAGAGAUUACAUGGAAUACCAAUUGCGAAGGCAGGUUACUACCAAUAUAUUGACGCUGAUGGACGAAAGCGUGGGGAGCGAACAGGAUUAGAUACCCUGGUAGUCCACGCCGUANACGAUGGAUACUAGCUGUUCGGAGCAAUCUGAGUGGCUAAGCGAAAGUGAUAAGUAUCCCACCUGGGGAGUACGUUCGCAAGAAU